AUCAUGUUCCAAUGCAUUAUAUGAGUAUUCAAUCAAAGAAGUUAGGUUGUUCUCCAGAACUGGCUCUCUCCUACAGGUCAAAAC
This is an unclassified non-coding RNA of Carlito syrichta (Philippine tarsier), 84 nucleotides long. The record is from Ensembl. NCBI's taxonomy places the organism in Eukaryota, Metazoa, Chordata, Mammalia, Primates, Tarsiidae.